Molecule: long non-coding RNA, 570 nt
Organism: Poeciliopsis prolifica (blackstripe livebearer)
Lineage: Eukaryota; Metazoa; Chordata; Actinopteri; Cyprinodontiformes; Poeciliidae
Exons: 5
Source: RefSeq, a predicted model, not a curated record
GGAGUAGGACCAGGCGGAGUCGGACCAGGCGGAGUAGGACCAGGCGGAGUUGGACCAGGCGGAGUCGGACCAGGCGGAGUAGGACCAGGUGGAGUUGGAUCUGGCAGUUACAGGCCUGGUACAUUCGGUCCAGCUGGUAGUGGACUGGGAGUAGCUGGUGGAAAACCUCCCAAAACAGGUGCUGGUUAUGGUGGAUUUGGACAGGGAGCUGGAGGUGUAGGAGGAGGACUGGGACCAGGUGGUGUCAGUCCUGGAGGCUUUGGAACUCGUCCUGGUGGAGUCGGUCCUGGUGGAGUUGGACCUGGUGGAGUUGGACCUGGUGGAGUUGGACCUGGUGGAGUUGGACCUGGUGGAGUCGGUCCUGGUGGAGUUGGACCUGGUGGACUUGGACCUGGUGGAGUUGGACCUGGUGGAAUCGGUCCAGGUGUUUAUGCAGGAUAUGGCGGUGGUUAUGGACCCAAACCCCCCAAAACAGGUGGGGCAGGAACAGCUCUUGGAGGAACAGGUUAUGGGCCUGGAGGAACUGGAUUUAGACCUGGGGGUACAGGAGUCGGACCAGGGGGUGCAGGA